RNAcentral lists this ribosomal RNA (618 nucleotides) under uncultured bacterium. RNAcentral describes it as "bacterial SSU rRNA". It matches the Rfam family "Bacterial small subunit ribosomal RNA", at positions 8 to 672 of the family's 1533-position model. The record is from RNAcentral.
AGAGUUUGAUCCUGGCUCAGAACGAACGCUGGCGGAAGGCUUAACACAUGCAAGUCGAGCGCAUCCUUCGGGAUGAGCGGCAGACGGGUGAGUAACGCGUGGGAACGUGCCCUUUGGUUCGGAAUAGCCCUUGGAAACGAGGAGUAAUGCCGAAUAAGCCCUACGGGGGAAAGAUUUAUCGCCGAAGGAUCGGCCCGCGUUAGAUUAGGUAGUUGGUGAGGUAAAGGCUCACCAAGCCGACGAUCUAUAGCUGGUUUGAGAGGAUGAUCAGCCACACUGGGACUGAGACACGGCCCAGACUCCUACGGGAGGCAGCAGUGGGGAAUCUUGGACAAUGGGCGAAAGCCUGAUCCAGCCAUUCCGCGUGGAUGACGAAGGCCUUAGGGUUGUAAAAUCCUUUCAGCAGGGAAGAUAAUGACGGUACCUGCAGAAGAAGCCCCGGCUAACUCCGUGCCAGCAGCCGCGGUAAUACGGAGGGGGCUAGCGUUGUUCGGAAUUACUGGGCGUAAAGCGCGCGUAGGCGGAUCAGUCAGUCAGAGGUGAAAUCCCGGCGCUCAACGUCGGAACUGCCUUUGAUACUGCUGAUCUGGAGUUCACGAGAGGUGUGUGGAAUUCCGA